Molecule: ribosomal RNA, 427 nt
Filed under: uncultured Burkholderiales bacterium
Lineage: Bacteria; Pseudomonadati; Pseudomonadota; Betaproteobacteria; Burkholderiales
Description: partial 16S ribosomal RNA
Rfam family: Bacterial small subunit ribosomal RNA
Source: RNAcentral
UGGGGAAUUUUGGACAAUGGGCGCAAGCCUGAUCCAGCCAUGCCGCGUGCGGGAAGAAGGCCUUCGGGUUGUAAACCGCUUUUGUCAGGAACGAAACGGUGUUGGCUAAUAACCAGCGCUAAUGACGGUACCUGAAGAAUAAGCACCGGCUAACUACGUGCCAGCAGCCGCGGUAAUACGUAGGGUGCAAGCGUUAAUCGGAAUUACUGGGCGUAAAGCGUGCGCAGGCGGUUAUGUAAGACAGGUGUGAAAUCCCCGGGCUCAACCUGGGAACUGCAUUUGUGACUGCAUAGCUAGAGUUUGUCAGAGGGGGGUGGAAUUCCACGUGUAGCAGUGAAAUGCGUAGAUAUGUGGAAGAACACCGAUGGCGAAGGCAGCCCCCUGGGAUAAGACUGACGCUCAUGCACGAAAGCGUGGGGAGCAAACA